GAAGAUUUAGUGUUUAUUCCAUGGAGAAAUUCUAAAUUAACAAGAAUUUUAAGCAAAAGUUUAGGUGGAAAUUGUCGUGCAUCUGUUAUAGUUGCUGUUCACCCAUCUCAUUUUUAUCUGGAUACGUCUUUUUCAACUUUACGCUUUGCUUUAAAAUGUAAAAAAAUAAAGAAAAAAAUCGAGGUUAAUUUUUUAUCAGCAGAACAAUCUGUUAUUGUGCAACAAAAAGAAUUAAUAGCUAAAUUACAAAAUGAAUUAAAACAUUUAGCUACUGCAAAAAAUGUUCAAGUAUCUAUGGCGGGUGUACAUAAAUAUUAUGAGCGUAACAUAAAUCCUGAAAAUGAUGAAAAAAUUUUGGCAUUAAAAAAUGAAUUAGAAGAAAAAGUAAAAAAGUUUCAAAAUUUUAUUUUAAAAUCAGAAUUUCACGUAAAUCCAAAUCAUUAUAGAGUAUAUAGAUCUUUAGAUGAAAGUACUGAAAAAUCACUAAAAUAUUCUAUGUCAAUUUCUAACAAUAUUAAAAAUGAGUAUAAUUGGUUAAGGUCUCUUGAAACACACGAUUAUGAUGCUAGAUGGGAUGGAAUAGAAAAAUAUGAAGAUCAUAAUGUACAAGAAAAAUUCAAUAUAUCGAAAGUAAUGGAUUAUUUAAAAAAUAAACCACCAUCCAAAAUGAACUCUACAGAAAAUAGCGAAAACGCAUUAUCUAUUGAAUCGCAUAAAGAAGAUGCUAAUUCUUUAAAUUAUUUUAACGUGUUGGAUGAACUAGAAAAGUUGGAGAAAAGUGAAGUAACAAAAAAAAAAAAAAAAGAUAAAGUAGGUGAUAUAAGUAGUAAUAUUUCGAAUAAUAAAAUAAAUGACGAAUUCGAUAAGCCAGCUGUUGUGAAAUAUCAAACUUGGUAUGCUGGCGAUAAAAAAUCAGAAUAUACAAAAAAAAAAAGUAGAAAAAAAACAGGAAAAAAAUUAACAAUUGUGGCCCCAAGUGUAAAUAAUUAUAAAGAUGUUAUAGAAACAUUCAAAAGUAAAGAUAUAACAAAAAAAAAAAGCAUCAAAGUAGCAGGUAGCAAUAUGAAAAAAAAAAAAAGUGUUUUUAUCAAAGAAAAUAGCGAUACAUUUAAAAAAGUGGACUCGGAGCAAAGAGAAGAAGAGGGAGAAAAAAAUAUAUACAAAGAUUUAUUAGAAGAUGUAAAUGAGAAUGCUAAAAAUGAGCAAAACUCUUUUUCGAACACGGUUAAAAUGGAGGAGAAAAAUAUAUACGAUAAUGAUAGCAGUAAUAUUACUACAGAAUCAAAAAAUGAUAAUAACAUAAACAAAUUAAAAACAAAAGCAACCAUCAAUUUUAAGAACAUUAAAGAACAAGACCAUAAUGAAAAGAGAACUUUUAUUAUAUCAAAAUUAAAAGAGAAAAUUGAAGAAGAUUUACAAAAAAAAAAAAAGGUUAUUGAUAGAAAUGUGGAACUUAACAAACAAAUAAAAUUUAUAAUGAAACUUAUGCAAAAAGUUGGACUAUCUACCAUUUUAACUGGAACUGUUCCACCAGGAAGGAAUAUUGAAAACGUUUUAAAACUGCAAGAGACUUUAAAAGAAAAAUUAAAUUUAUACAAUAGUAGUAGCAAACACUCAUCAUUAAGGUCAUUAAAAAAACUAAACAAUAGUAAAGAUGAUAAUUCACAUAAUGCUCUCAAAAACAGUGGUAUUGAUAAAGAGCAAGAAAAUAAAACCGAAAAAAAUGAUAAAGCUUUACUAUGUGAACAAUUUGUGGAUGAUGAAUGUGAAGGUGAUGAUGAUGAUAAUAAUAAUAAUAAUAAUAAUGACGAUGACAAUGAGGCAGAAUACAAUGAAAGCAUAUCUCACGUAUUUAUAAAUGAAAUGUUCUAUUCUUUCAUACUUAAAUUACAACAACAUAAUAACACAUGUGAUAAUUCUUUAAAUAACGUUGAAGAACAGUUAAAAAAUGAAGAAAAACCUUACGAUUUGUCUAAAAAAGCGAUAGAAGAUAUAUUAGGAAGUACAAUAGCAAAUAAACUUGAUGAUAAAGAAGUUAACACAGCAAAAAGUAUAAAAGAUGGUAAGAAUAAAGAAACUAUCGAUUCAAUUUUAAAUAUGCUUACCCCAUGGGAACAAAAAAUAUUAGCUCUAUUAUAUGAACAACAAAAAAUGAAAAAGAGUGUUCGUACAAUUAAGGAAAAAUUUUCACAACGCAUUCAACAUAUUAACGUGUUUAUUAAAAAAAUACUUAUCGAUAAGAUUGAAGUUGAAAGACACUUUAAUCGCAUUAUAAAAGCAACAGAAUGUUACAAAAACGAUAUGUUGAAAACUUCUGAUGUCGAUUCUAAUUUUAAGUUUGCUGGUUUAAUGAAAAAAUUAGAAGAACUUUCUAUAUCAUUAGCUGAAAAAACAAGAGACUUUAAUGUGUUAGCAGAAUUCCAUUUAAAUUUAAAAAAACAAAUGGAAAAAAAAGAUUUUUUAAUAAAAGAAUUACAAGAAGAAAACAAAUUGUUUUAUCUUGUUCCAAAAUAUAAUGAACUCUUAAAUGAAAUCGAUAAAAAUAAUGAAAAUGAUAAAAAAUGGUGAAAAUGAUAAAAAUGGU
Molecule: long non-coding RNA, 2584 nt
Organism: Piliocolobus tephrosceles (Ugandan red Colobus)
Lineage: Eukaryota; Metazoa; Chordata; Mammalia; Primates; Cercopithecidae
Source: Ensembl